This 378-nucleotide unclassified non-coding RNA is filed under the name uncultured bacterium. Its description in RNAcentral is "contains 16S-23S intergenic spacer region". The record is from RNAcentral.
UCCUGGUUAACCCAGGCAGUCUCGUUAGAGUUCCCGCCUUUACGCGUUGGCAACUAACGAUAAGGGUUGCGCUCGUUGCUGGACUUAACCAAACACCUCACGGCACGAGCUGACGACAGCCAUGCAGCACCUAUAUAGAGAUCCUUUCGGGAAAUAUCAUCUCUGAUAUCGUCCUCUACAUUUCGAGCCCAGGUAAGGUUCUUCGCGUUGCGUCGAAUUGAACCACAUGCUCCACCGCUUGUGCGGGCCCCCGUCAAUUCCUUUGAGUUUCAGUCUUGCGACCGUACUCCCCAGGCGGCGAACUUAACGCGUUAGCUUCGACACUGAGCUCCUAAUUGAGCCCAACGUCCAGUUCGCAUCGUUUAGGGCGUGGACUAC